Molecule: ribosomal RNA, 810 nt
Filed under: uncultured bacterium
Lineage: Bacteria
Description: bacterial SSU rRNA
Rfam family: Bacterial small subunit ribosomal RNA
Source: RNAcentral
AGAGUUUGAUCCUGGCUCAGAAUGAACGCUGGCGGCGUGCUUAACACAUGCAAGUCGUGCGCGAAGGUGGCUUCGGCCACCGGAGAGCGGCGAACGGGUGAGUAACACGUGGGUGAUCUGCCUGGGAGCGGGGGAUAACCUGGGGAAACCCGGGCUAAUACCGCAUACGUUGGCGGGUUUACGGACUCGCCAAGAAAGCUGGCCUCUGCUUGCAAGCUAGCGCUCCCAGAGGAGCCCGCGGCUGAUUAGCUAGUUGGUGGGGUAAUGGCCCACCAAGGCGACGAUCAGUAGCCGGCCUGAGAGGGUGAUCGGCCACACUGGGACUGAGACACGGCCCAGACUCCUACGGGAGGCAGCAGUGGGGAAUAUUGGACAAUGGGCGCAAGCCUGAUCCAGCAACGCCGCGUGGAGGAUGAAGGUCUUCGGAUCGUAAACUCCUGUCAGACGGGACGAAGGCAGCCGGAUGAACAAUCCGGCUGCUUGACGGUACCGUCAGAGGAAGCCCCGGCUAACUCCGUGCCAGCAGCCGCGGUAAUACGGAGGGGGCAAGCGUUAUUCGGAAUUAUUGGGCGUAAAGGGCACGUAGCGGCUUGAUAAGUCAAAGGUGAAAUCCCUCGGCUCAACUGAGGAACUGCCCUUUGAAACUGUCGAGCUUGAGGCCGGGAGGGGGGUAGCGGAAUUCCCAGUGUAGCGGUGAAAUGCGUAGAUAUUGGGAGGAACACCGGUGGCGAAGGCGGCUACCUGGACCGGUUCUGACGCUGAGGCGCGAAAGCGUGGGUAGCAAACAGGAUUAGAUACCCUGGUAGUCCA